ACGGGUGAGUAAUACAUCGGAACGUGCCCAAGAGUGGGGGAUAACGGAGCGAAAGCUUUGCUAAUACCGCAUACGAUCUACGGAUGAAAGCAGGGGACCGCAAGGCCUUGCGCUCAUGGAGCGGCCGAUGGCAGAUUAGGUAGUUGGUGGGAUAAAAGCUUACCAAGCCGACGAUCUGUAGCUGGUCUGAGAGGACGACCAGCCACACUGGGACUGAGACACGGCCCAGACUCCUACGGGAGGCAGCAGUGGGGAAUUUUGGACAAUGGGCGCAAGCCUGAUCCAGCCAUGCCGCGUGCAGGAUGAAGGCCUUCGGGUUGUAAACUGCUUUUGUACGGAACGAAAAGCCUCUUUCUAAUAAAGAGGGGUCAUGACGGUACCGUAAGAAUAAGCACCGGCUAACUACGUGCCAGCAGCCGCGGUAAUACGUAGGGUGCGAGCGUUAAUCGGAAUUACUGGGCGUAAAGCGUGCGCAGGCGGUAAUGUAAGACAGAUGUGAAAUCCCCGGGCUCAACCUGGAAACUGCAUUUGUGACUGCAUUGCUGGAGUGCGGCAGAGGGGGAUGGAAUUCCGCGUGUAGCAGUG
Molecule: ribosomal RNA, 585 nt
Filed under: uncultured bacterium
Lineage: Bacteria
Description: bacterial SSU rRNA
Rfam family: Bacterial small subunit ribosomal RNA
Source: RNAcentral